This 254-nucleotide ribosomal RNA is filed under the name uncultured bacterium. Its description in RNAcentral is "partial 16S ribosomal RNA". It matches the Rfam family "Bacterial small subunit ribosomal RNA", at positions 524 to 776 of the family's 1533-position model. The record is from RNAcentral.
UACGGAGGGUGCGAGCGUUGUCCGGAAUCACUGGGCGUAAAGGGCGCGUAGGCGGCGCGAGGAGUCGGGGGUGAAAGUCCGGGGCUCAACCCCGGAUCGGCCUUCGAGACUCUCGCGCUCGAGCACAGUAGAGGCGGGGAGGAAUUCCGGGUGUAGCGGUGGAAUGCGUAGAGAUCCGGAAGAACACCGGUGGCGAAGGCGGCCCGCUGGGCUGUGGCUGACGCUGAGGCGCGACAGCGUGGGGAGCAAACAGG